CAUUCAUCACGUCAGUUUUUGUAAGGCAAAUGUUCCGUAACUCUAUUAUUUCUCUCUUUUUUAUUCAAUUUUGUUCACAUAUGUGAUGCAAGAUGUUGGAAUGGAAAUACGCGCAUCGAUCUUCGUUAAGUUA
This is a non-coding RNA of Caenorhabditis elegans, 133 nucleotides long. The record is from Ensembl. Lineage: Eukaryota; Metazoa; Nematoda; Chromadorea; Rhabditida; Rhabditidae.